GGGAGUGCAAAUCAAAACCUUAACAUUGGGGGAAGUGUGAAUCGGAACCCUAAUAAUGGUAGAAACUAUCGGCCUGUGAAUUUGGAAGAAAAUAAGCCUCUGACGCAGGAGAGGAAUGGAGGUAACCAGCUACCUAUGAGGGGUUAUCAUGUGGAAUUUCCUACGUUUGAUGGUUGGGGUUUGAAGGAUUGGCUUUAUAAAUGUGAGCAAUUUUUUGAAGUUGAUGAAAC
RNAcentral lists this long non-coding RNA (230 nucleotides) under Capsicum annuum. RNAcentral's name for it is "long non-coding RNA (CANN_LNC006336)". Lineage: Eukaryota; Viridiplantae; Streptophyta; Magnoliopsida; Solanales; Solanaceae. The record is from RNAcentral.